UAAGCAAAGACUAGACCAAUUGACCUUUUUUUUUUUGAGAAAAACGCAACCCAACUCGCAUUGAUAUCGUUCUCUAAUAUCCCAGCCAUGUUAACACAUGAAAUUAUUCUGUAAGAGAAUGGACAAAAGCAAAUUUCUACUCAAGAAUUUCAUCUGCUUCAAUGACAAACAAAUAAGAAAAGGUCAAUUGGUCUAGUCUUUGCUUAAACCACUGCAAAAAUCCUGAAGACAAAUGAAAACAAGUACUCCUCAAUCUUUUAUAUGUGAAUGGCCUUGUCAUGAGUGGCCAUGGCAGCUUCCUUCAAUGCCUCACUCAUUGUUGGAUGUGCAUGGCACACACG
Molecule: unclassified non-coding RNA, 341 nt
Filed under: Hevea brasiliensis (rubber tree)
Lineage: Eukaryota; Viridiplantae; Streptophyta; Magnoliopsida; Malpighiales; Euphorbiaceae
Source: RNAcentral